Molecule: non-coding RNA, 801 nt
Organism: Coturnix japonica (Japanese quail)
Lineage: Eukaryota; Metazoa; Chordata; Aves; Galliformes; Phasianidae
Source: RefSeq, a predicted model, not a curated record
UUCAUAGUUCAGCAAGCAGUUCCCCCUCAGCAAAGAAGCCACAACUUAGAAGACUGUGAAUAGGUCACCCAGAUCUGCAGAUCUCAUUAAGGACUCAACCCUGUCCUAUAUGUCACUGUGCAAGAAAAGUGGCUACAAAUUUAAGGUGGAAAGAGAGAUUUGCUUAUUAGAUUCAGAGUAGAGAGGCACUAAUGGAAAGCAGAUGGUACGUGGCUCUGCAGAAGAGAUGGAAUGGAUGCAAAGAUUCUCCUUCCUCACCUACUCCAGCCAGGAAGAGGAAAGCUUAUUUCAGUCACUGCAAGGCUCUGGCAGCAUGCUGAGGAUGGAAAGGGGAAGCAGCACCAUGGUGCACUGGCACUGGCAGUGGGCAGGAAUUCAAAGGGAUGGAAGAUCAAGCAAAUCUAGUGGCAAAAGCAACCUGUAGAGGGCAGCCUCCACUUACAAAACGGAUUUCAGGCACCGCCGCCACUUCCUUCCCUUUUCUCUGGGUACAUCGGUUCUGACAGUGAAGGAAAAAAGCCGACCCGUACGUUAAACACUGUGCCCCUCCCAGGAAAGUACCGAUAAAAAUGAUGCGGGCAGGUACUGCCUUAUGUGUAGUCAUGGAACUGAGAGGAUCAAAUGUACUCAGUUCUCUACAAAGCAGAGACAUAAAAAAGUAAUUUGCUUUCUUGACACAUUCAAAAUUUAAGCCCUUUGAUUAAAGUAAACUCUUUAAAAGUCUUUCUCCAGGCCUCUGCAAUUUAAUUCCAUGGCUCGCAGUUUUCACAGCAAUUUGGAUGCGGAAAUUCAAAGAAAAUA